AGCGAACGCUGGCGGCAGGCCUAACACAUGCAAGUCGAACGAACUCCUCGGAGUUAGUGGCGGACGGGUGAGUAACACGUGGGAACGUGCCUUUUGGUUCGGAAUAACUCAGGGAAACUUGUGCUAAUACCGAAUGUGCCCUUCGGGGGAAAGAUUUAUCGCCAUUAGAGCGGCCCGCGUCUGAUUAGCUAGUUGGUGAGGUAACGGCUCACCAAGGCGACGAUCAGUAGCUGGUCUGAGAGGAUGACCAGCCACACUGGGACUGAGACACGGCCCAGACUCCUACGGGAGGCAGCAGUGGGGAAUCUUGCGCAAUGGGCGAAAGCCUGACGCAGCCAUGCCGCGUGAAUGAUGAAGGUCUUAGGAUUGUAAAAUUCUUUCACCGGGGACGAUAAUGACGGUACCCGGAGAAGAAGCCCCGGCUAACUUCGUG
This 433-nucleotide ribosomal RNA is filed under the name uncultured bacterium. RNAcentral describes it as "partial 16S ribosomal RNA". It matches the Rfam family "Bacterial small subunit ribosomal RNA", at positions 29 to 507 of the family's 1533-position model. The record is from RNAcentral.